GCCCCCAUCGUCUAACGGCUAGGACACCACUCUUUCAAGGUGGAGAUCGGGGUUCGAUUCCCCGUGGGGGCA
Molecule: transfer RNA, 72 nt
Filed under: Candidatus Kutchimonas denitrificans
Lineage: Bacteria; Pseudomonadati; Gemmatimonadota; Gemmatimonadia; Candidatus Palauibacterales; Candidatus Palauibacteraceae
Description: tRNA-Glu
Rfam family: tRNA
About the family: Transfer RNA (tRNA) molecules are approximately 80 nucleotides in length. Their secondary structure includes four short double-helical elements and three loops (D, anti-codon, and T loops). Further hydrogen bonds mediate the characteristic L-shaped molecular structure. tRNAs have two regions of fundamental functional importance: the anti-codon, which is responsible for specific mRNA codon recognition, and the 3' end, to which the tRNAs corresponding amino acid is attached (by aminoacyl-tRNA synthetases). tRNAs cope with the degeneracy of the genetic code in two manners: having more than one tRNA (with a specific anti-codon) for a particular amino acid; and 'wobble' base-pairing, i.e. permitting non-standard base-pairing at the 3rd anti-codon position.
Source: RNAcentral